Molecule: ribosomal RNA, 1372 nt
Filed under: uncultured organism
Description: 16S ribosomal RNA
Rfam family: Bacterial small subunit ribosomal RNA
Source: RNAcentral
GGCGACCGGCGCACGGGUGAGUAACACGUAUCCAACCUGCCGUCUACUCUUGGACAGCCUUCUGAAAGGAAGAUUAAUACAAGAUGGCAUCAUGAGUCCGCAUGUUCACAUGAUUAAAGGUAUUCCGGUAGACGAUGGGGAUGCGUUCCAUUAGAUAGUAGGCGGGGUAACGGCCCACCUAGUCUUCGAUGGAUAGGGGUUCUGAGAGGAAGGUCCCCCACAUUGGAACUGAGACACGGUCCAAACUCCUACGGGAGGCAGCAGUGAGGAAUAUUGGUCAAUGGGCGCAGGCCUGAACCAGCCAAGUAGCGUGAAGGAUGACUGCCCUAUGGGUCGUAAACUUCUUUUAUAAAGGAAUAAAGUCGGGUAUGUAUACCCGUUUGCAUGUACUUUAUGAAUAAGGAUCGGCUAACUCCGUGCCAGCAGCCGCGGUAAUACGGAGGAUCCGAGCGUUAUCCGGAUUUAUUGGGUUUAAAGGGAGCGUAGAUGGAUGUUUAAGUCAGUUGUGAAAGUUUGCGGCUCAACCGUAAAAUUGCAGUUGAUACUGGAUAUCUUGAGUGCAGUUGAGGCAGGCGGAAUUCGUGGUGUAGCGGUGAAAUGCUUAGAUAUCACGAAGAACUCCGAUUGCGAAGGCAGCCUGCUAAGCUGCAACUGACAUUGAGGCUCGAAAGUGUGGGUAUCAAACAGGAUUAGAUACCCUGGUAGUCCACACGGUAAACGAUGAAUACUCGCUGUUUGCGAUAUACGGCAAGCGGCCAAGCGAAAGCGUUAAGUAUUCCACCUGGGGAGUACGCCGGCAACGGUGAAACUCAAAGGAAUUGACGGGGGCCCGCACAAGCGGAGGAACAUGUGGUUUAAUUCGAUGAUACGCGAGGAACCUUACCCGGGCUUAAAUUGCAGAUGAAUUACGGUGAAAGCCGUAAGCCGCAAGGCAUCUGUGAAGGUGCUGCAUGGUUGUCGUCAGCUCGUGCCGUGAGGUGUCGGCUUAAGUGCCAUAACGAGCGCAACCCUUGUUGUCAGUUACUAACAGGUUUCGCUGAGGACUCUGACAAGACUGCCAUCGUAAGAUGUGAGGAAGGUGGGGAUGACGUCAAAUCAGCACGGCCCUUACGUCCGGGGCUACACACGUGUUACAAUGGGGGGUACAGAGGGCCGCUACCACGCGAGUGGAUGCCAAUCCCAAAAACCUCUCUCAGUUCGGACUGGAGUCUGCAACCCGACUCCACGAAGCUGGAUUCGCUAGUAAUCGCGCAUCAGCCACGGCGCGGUGAAUACGUUCCCGGGCCUUGUACACACCGCCCGUCAAGCCAUGGGAGCCGGGGGUACCUGAAGUGCGUAACCAGGGGGAGCGCCCUAGGGUAAAACUGGUGAC